UGGGGAAUAUUGGUCAAUGGGCGUAAGCCUGAACCAGCAAUGCCGCGUGAGUGAUGAAGGCCUUCGGGUUGUAAAGCUCUGUCGGGAGGGACGAAAAAGCGGGUUAACACUCCGCAUUGACGGUACCUCCAAAGGAAGCACCGGCUAACUCUGUGCCAGCAGCCGCGGUAAUACAGAGGGUGCAAGCGUUGUUCGGAAUUACUGGGCGUAAAGCGCGUGUAGGUGGCGAUGUAAGUCGGGUGUGAAAUCCCUUGGCUUAACCAAGGAAGUGCACUCGAUACUGCGUUGCUUGAGUAUCGGAGGGGAUGGCGGAAUUCCCGGUGUAGAGGUGAAAUUCGUAGAUAUCGGGAGGAACACCUGUGGCGAAGGCGGCCAUCUGGACGAUCACUGACACUGAGACGCGAAAGCGUGGGUAGCAAACAGG
Molecule: ribosomal RNA, 424 nt
Filed under: uncultured bacterium
Lineage: Bacteria
Description: bacterial SSU rRNA
Rfam family: Bacterial small subunit ribosomal RNA
Source: RNAcentral